This 248-nucleotide ribosomal RNA is filed under the name uncultured Exiguobacterium sp. Its description in RNAcentral is "partial 16S ribosomal RNA". It matches the Rfam family "Bacterial small subunit ribosomal RNA", at positions 524 to 771 of the family's 1533-position model. Lineage: Bacteria; Bacillati; Bacillota; Bacilli; Caryophanales. The record is from RNAcentral.
UACGUAGGGGGCAAGCGUUAUCCGGAUUUAUUGGGCGUAAAGCGCGCGCAGGCGGCUUCUUAAGUCUGAUGUGAAAGCCCACGGCUCAACCGUGGAGGGUCAUUGGAAACUGGGAGGCUUGAGUGCAGAAGAGGAGAGCGGAAUUCCACGUGUAGCGGUGAAAUGCGUAGAGAUGUGGAGGAACACCAGUGGCGAAGGCGGCUCUCUGGUCUGUAACUGACGCUGAGGCGCGAAAGCGUGGGGAGCGA